GAGAUGAUUCUACUUUUCAGCUGGAGAACUUAGCAAUAAGUUGUGGUAAGGAGAUAAAAAUUCCUAAGCAAUGGCUACUUCAAUUAGAUAAUCUGGAAAGCUUGUCACUGCAUCGCUGUUGGUCAGAUGAGCUGAAAUCUCUACGUUUCCAGAGAUUGAAGAAACUCACACUUGGUCAACUUAGUUGCUUCACUGUUUUCUCAUUCCCAGACUUUGAAAGACUUCAACAGCUCAGAGAAUUACGAAUAGCACAUUGUGAUUCAUUGGAACAUAUCGUGGAGGUUGUUAAUGGUGAAGAAGCUUCUGGCAUGGAUACGGAGACUGCUGCACUAGUUCAGCUGGUAAAAGUCUAUCUUGAGGGUUUGCCAAAACUCAGAAGUUUUACACACACAAAGUCUAAGAAUCUUAUGGCCAGUUUAGAGCAGGUGGAAGUGGAGCCCUCGAUUCUUUUCAGGUGCCCUGUCGUUGGAAAUCUCCAACAGCUCAGAUGGUUAGACGUGACUGAUUGCAGAUUGUUGGAAGGCAUUGUGGAGGUUGCAAGAGGCUAUCAGACUUCUCACAGGAAUGACCACAUUAUCACAUUCCCUCAGCUCUAUUCCAUUAAACUUAGAAAUUUGCCCAACCUCCAAAAUUUCAGUCCCACUAAAAGCUAUAGUUUCAAGAUGCCCAAAUUAACAGGUUUCGGUCUGUUCUAUUGUCCCCGGAUGGAGAAUAAACCCUUCAUGCAAAUAAUCGCAGAAAGGGUACAUUUUUCUUCCGAGGAGCGUCGACGACUGAUAAUAGUUGAAAACCUCAAGGACUACACACUUAGAAAAAUAAACAAGCUCGAAAGCGUGGGGGAAUCAAGUAACAGCAAUCAGGAUGUGGAAACAGAAACAAUGAGAGUUGAACAAGCGGAAGCCAUAGUUGUUCAACAACGGGAAGAGGGAGUUGGUGCAGAAGAAGACGACUUUUUCUUCUUAAGAAAGUCUCAGACUUCAUUGUUUUUCAUUUUGUUUUUGUUUUUGGUUUUGGUUUUGUGUUUGAAGGAGGUCUGAGCGUCUGACACUGAAUUGUAAGUUGUGAAAAGCGACAACUGAGGAUGCGGGCUGAUUGGAGGCCCAGUUCCAGUAAUACAAUUUCAGGUCCAAUAUCUAUGGCCUGCAUAAUUUUUAAGAGUUAAGUUCCAUGUAGUAUAUUUAUGUAGUACUGUAGGCCACGUAUAUUCUGCAACUAUAAAAUGACAUAAAAACAUUGCAAAAUAUAUGAAACUUGUUAUUUUGUGAAAUACAUUCUAUAAAUAUCACUAUUUCAUGAAAAAUAUUGAAAAUCAUUUAUGUUCGACAAGUAUAACACAUAUGUUCAGUAAUAUGUAAAUAUGUUCUGCAAACCUAACAUGUGUUGCAGAAUAAUGUGUUUUUCACUAUUUAACUUGUGGAAUGUUUAAGAUUGUCAAAAAUUUUAACAAAAUAAUGAUAUUUAUAGAACAUGAUUUGCAAAAUAACACAGUUUGCAAUGUUUUUAUGUCAUUUUAUAGUUGCAGAACAUACGUGGUCUACGGUACUACAGUAAAUAUGUGGAUUACAUGGAACUUUGUUCUAAUUUUUAAUGUAUAUAUUAAUUUCAAAGCACUUCAUCCAAAUUAUGUAUACACACAAUAUAUAUUACAUUUUAUUAUUUAUUUUAUUGAUCUGUUAAUUAGAACCUAUAACCUAGACUGCAAUCGUCAACCUUCAAUUUUGAUUAUUUUUCUGCCAAAAAAAUAAAUUUUAUCAAGUUCAAAAUUUGUCAACUUUUAUCAUGGCGAUACUAAAUACUCCCUCCGUCCCAAAUUAAUUGUCCAGUUUGACUUUUUGAUGGUCAAUUUGACCCAACUUUGAUUGGAAAUUAAAAAUUAUCCUUUUACAAUUUUACAAAACUGAAAAAUAUAUUCAAAAAUAGAUUUGAUAAUCUUUUCAAUGAUAUAUAUUUCAUAAUUUUAUUCAAUUAUUUAAUAUACAUAUUUUUCAGUCAAAGUUGAGUCAAAUUGACCAUCGAAAAGUCAAACUGGACAGUUAAUUUGGGACGGAGGGAGUAGAUAUUAAGCAGUUUCUUGAUUUGAUUAUGCCUAUAAAUUAUUUGUUUUUUCAUUUAAUGAUUCCUUCCGUUAAUUAGAGGCUUUAAUUUAGAAUGUAUUAUUAAAUUUUUAUUUCUCAAAUAUUUCUUAAAUAAACAAUUGAAUAAUGUUUUUUUUGAGAGAAUUGAAUAAUGUUAUGUAUCCCAAAUUUUAUUCUCAAAAUUUUUAUCAAGUGGAGAAGAACCAAUCAAACAGAAUUUGGAAACACUUUUUCAAAUACCUAAUAUUUUCCAGUUUCAAAAAAAAUACCUAAUAUUUCCUAAAUAAUUUAUGGGCCAAUAUACCUCUUUUUAACAUUUUUAUUGCAAUAAUACAAUUUUCUCCCAAAAAUUGCAUAUUUACUUUUUUUUUUUAAAAAAGCUACAAAGUAUUUGCAUAUAUACGACUAUGACUAUGAACUGCUUCCUGGAGUAAGUGAGAGAGAGAAACAAGCGAACCCGUUCUUUGUUCUUGCCUCACCCUUCCUCCUCUGUGGCUCAUUUUGAUCUGUCUCUCUCUUUAAUUCCCUCUCUCUUCUGCCUCCAUCUCUCCUCGCUCUCUCUAUCUUUUUCUUCGAUCCAUUGAUUAUGUCAGCCGUACAUUCUCCGAUCACGAAGCCCUAGGUACUCAUAGGGAGUACAAUCUUAGUGGUGUUCUUGAUGAUUGUUGGAUCGGUGAUUAUAGCGGAUACACACAAGAUGACUUUAAAAGAAGGGAGAAACGUCGAAGUAGAAACUCCUAAACAUGGCUGCUGAUGUUGAUUUUAUGUGAAUAUAUUUUUGUUUUUUGUUAUGCUUCAUCUCUGUAGAAGUUUUGGUUAGCGCUGGUUACUUGUGGUUGCAAAACUUGUUGAUUCUUUUGGCCCCGCAGGGGCAUUUAUUUUUCUGUCUUUGCAACUAGUUGCAACUUAUUAUGCAACCUAAUAUAAUUUUAGCAUUUUUUAAAAAAAAAGUUACAUAUGUAGUUGAAAGUAUGGUUGCUCGCAGUUGCAGAUUUGGUUACAUAUGCAAAAUCGUAUUUUUGCAAAAAAAAAUUGAAUGAUAGAGUUUUUUUUAUUUUAAAAAAUGAUAGUAUUUUUGCAAAAUUUCUUUUUGACUUGGGUAUUUAUUAAAAAAACCCAUAAUUUAUUCCUAUAAAUAAAGAAUGUCAAACACAUAAAUAUUUAAUUCUCAGGUAGCAAAGAAAGGUUACUCGCAAUUAUUUAGGAGCCCAAACUAAACCAAGGCACAAUUGACAAUACCAAACAGCAAAGAACACGCUCCCAAACAUAAAAGCGCAAAGGAGCAAAUAGCAAUUCAAGAUCAUAUUGUACUCCAACCAUUGACUAGCUAGUCAGACAAAAACUAUCUAAACUUCAACCAAUAUACAGUAUACUUGGGACAUAAACAUCCACUUAACAAGAUCAAAAAGGUCCUGGUUGAUAUUACUCCUCUUUCUCGACUCUCGAGGAAGUUGGGGUUCGAGUUAGGGUGAUUCCAUGUUUCCAUUGUUGUUACUCCAUUAACCAUUGAUGCAAAGCUGAAGCUGUGGUAUUGCUGAAUUUAUUACAUUAAAUACUAGUCAGUAUUUACUGUAUGCCUUAACAUGGCUUGAUGCAAUCAAAUAAACGAAAUCCUUGCAACACAAACGAAUUCAGUGAUACAAAACCAUAGCUACUAAUAUAUGGGCAAGGCAGACAAAAAUAGAUGCUACAAACAGUUGGAAUACGUCGGUUCUUUAUGAACUACCUAAACCAAUGACUAAUUGUGCAGUCGCAUAAAAACUGAAACCGCGUCAUUCAAACACAACUGGUGCCAACUCCUACCAGAGAUAAAACAUGAUAUAUCUAUAUUAAUGAGCUCAUGAUGCAACUAUUUAGUAGUUCCCGAGCUAUAUUGUUUUGAGAUGCACAAUAUUAUUGUAAGAGCUUAGCUGGAUUUCAUAAAGAUCUGCACGUUGAGCCACAGUACAACUUACCAAGCUCUCAAUUUCUUCGUGCAAUGCUGAUUAGCCCAAGGAUGUUCUUUCAAAUUUUUUAAACCAUCUAGUUUCACUGAUGAAUGAUGAUAGAAUAUGGAAACAACUUCUUGUAUUGGUUUGGGCCGAAGCCCAGGAUCGCUGUACCUGAUCCAGAUCUUAUUAGAGAGGUUUUGAUGAAUUCCUUAGGCCGAGUUGUUGCUUGGAGAUGGACUUGUUGGAUAUAUUGACCGGUGAGAAAUGGCCUGUUCUGUAUUCUUUUUUAAGAUUGCAUAGUGGCUUGUUUUUAUGGUGUGUGUGUGUGUGAGAAGUGUGUGUUCUGUUUUAAUGUCAACACUCCUAAAGUACCAGAGCCCAGGUUAGAAUUCAGUACUUAGUUCAGGGAGAUGGAUUUCCAGACUCUGGAGCUAAAUGACAAUCAGCUAGGCAGUUUCUGAAACAGUUUCCUGUAGUUCUAAUCUAGUUAUGUGGCAUAGAGGGCAACUAUUGCCUGUGAUCUCACUUGAUCACAAGUCUAUUUUAAGAAGGGGAGCUAUGUUAUAUUUUCAUUUAUAUUUUAUGUAUGUCAUGUCAACUCUUACAAUUUUGCUGGAUAAUUAAUUAAGUACUCCCUCCGUCCUUUUUUACAUGUCCAUUUUGAUUUUUGACCAGUCAAAUUAACUAUAUUUUGACUGAACUUUACACGUAUUAGAUAAUUGGAAAAAUUAAUAAAAAUUAUAUUACUAGAAAGUAUAUUUAAUCUAUUUUAAUAUGCAACUUUCAGAUUAUAAAAAUAACGAGUAGAUAAUUUGUAAUGUUUAGUCAAAAAUUGGUGAAUUUGGCUUCUCGAAAAGCAAAAUAGACAUGUAAAAGGGGACGGAGGGAGUAUUUAUUUGCAUCUCGGUUUAGUUGGAUCGCCAUCAAUAGAAUUUAUUUUAUACUUCUUCCGUUUCAAAGUAAGUGCCGUUUUAAUUUUUGUCACGUGACUUGAGGUGGAAUAUUUAUUUCGUUUACCAAAGACUUUGACCUUUCACCCAUGCAUACCGGGUAGUUGUUGUUGACCGUUCUUAUAAAAAAUAAAAUAUCAACAUUGUCACCUCUAUUUUUGAUUUUUUUAUUUAUUUCUGACCUAUGAUCGGUAUCUUAGUAUUUUAAAUUUCACGUGUAUCAUUGUAUCUUAUUUGCAAUUUAAAUAAAUAAAUUAGUUAAUUAUUGAAACCUCAUUUUUUUUUGCACUUUGGACAUCUAUAAUGAUUUACUACUUAAAAGUUGCAAUCAUAAACUAUUUGAAUAAAUUGAAUUUUAAAAAUCCAGAAAGUAUUUUAAAGAAUAUUCUUCAUUAUACUUUGUACUAUCAAUUUUUUUAGUAAACUUUUUAUGUGAUAUCCUUACCAUUGAAGUAUGACUAAUAUUAAUUAGUAUAUUAAAUUUGAAAUACAAUAAUAUCACCGAAAAAUUUAAUGAAUAAAAAAUGAUAAGAAAGUCAGAGGCAGAAGGAGUUUUCUUUAAGAAAAUUUAAUCCUCUUGUGCAUGACUUUAAAUCUUCAUAUAUCACGUAAAUUCGACAUGUUUGAGCGACACAAAUAACAUGCAUCGAGCACGAUUGGAUAGCUCAAGUGGUGGGUUUAUCCUCUGUUGUCCCGGAGACCCGAGUUCGACUCUGCCUCAUCCGAACAGUAUUAGAACGGAUACUCAUUUGUAAGGCAUAUAAGAUUCUAUUAUCAAAAAAAGUAAAAAAUAAAAAAAAUUAACAUGCAUCAUUGCCAGUCGCCCUGAGUGAGGGAUGCGGUUGUUAUUCUUUGUGAAUCAUAUACGUAAGCUUUUAGUUUCUUCUUUGUCAAAUUGAUUUCAGUUUUUCUUAAUGUUAUUGAUUUUCUUUUUAUUGUUUUGAUUUUUUCAAUAUGUUAAAUGAGUUCUCUACUUCUCUUGCCUUUUUAUCAUGUUAAAAUGAUUUUUUCAAUAUAUUAAAAUGAGUUCUCUUGUGCACUUUAGCGUCGGUUAGAAAAACCGACGCAAUAGAGACUACUCUAUAGCGUCGGGUUCAUAUACUGCGCUGGACUGCCGACGCUAAAGGUCUUAUUUGACUUAGGCAUUUUUGUACUAGUGUAAAAUAAUAAAAAGUAAAAUGAUUAUUCUACUUUCCUCAGCUUUCCACAAAUGGGGACAUUUUUUUAGUAAUACGAAAAACUCAUUUCCAAAUAUAUAUAUUUCAAAUGGACAUAAUAUCGGUUGUCAUUUUAAAUUUUCUAACUUAUUCAAACAAUAUAAUAUUCGUGAAAAUAGUAUACUAGCAUUUGGAUUGUCAUUUGAGAUUUUAAAUUAAGAUUAAAUUCCUCAUUUCUUACCUAACAUAUCAUGCAUCUGGCUAAAUAUAUAAUUUGGAACAAACUGUAAUUUCCAAAUAAGUACUAGAAUUUCUUUCUUUAUUUUCUUUCCAAACUUUUAUCGAUGAUUUUGUCUGCCCUCUCCGUCAAAUUGAUUUCUUUCUUUCCUUUUAUCUCAGGUUAAAGAUUGACCUUCUCAUGUGAAAUACUUACAGUAUGUUACUAUGUUAGUAUUGAACUGAUUUCGUAACAAGUGAAAUUUCUUUUUGUGUUUACAAUAAUAUUUGAUAAUUUAGCACUGAGAAAAUGUUUUAUCACAUGUGGUGAUAGGACUCGUAUUAAAAUAUUAAAUUAAAUAUCUGAAAGUAACUUGUCCAAAAGUCAAUCUUUCUAUAGGCCAAUCAAAUACAAACAAGUGACACCGACUAUAUGUGCUUGUUGGUGACAGUCUUUCUGUGAUAAUUACACCUUUCCUACUACCAUUAGUCACAUUGACGACUAUAUAUGAAGGUAUCAGAGAUGACUGUUGAAUGGAGGUUGUUUUUUUUUCAUAGCAAAAGACGUUAGAGCAAAUCCAAUGCAAGAUGUAAAAUAGUUAUAGAUAUUGUUAUAAAUUAGUAUUAAAAAGUGUUUUUCAUUGUUGAAAUAGAACUUCAACUCCAAUGCUAGAUGCAUUUUGCAUCCAAAUAAUUCCAAAUUUAAGUAACUUUAGUCCCUCUCUCUUAAAUUUUAUUUAAAGUUCACCAUUAUAUAUACCAAUUAUAGUUAAUUGAUGAUGUGUCAUGGAUGCAUAAAUGCAUAUUUGGUUUCAAAUUUAGAAUUAAAAAGUGUUUUUCAUUGUUGAAAUAGAACUUCAACUCCAAUGCUAGAUGCAUUUUGCAUCCAAAUAAUUCCAAAUUUAAGUAACUUUAGUCCCUCUCUCUUAAAUUUUAUUUAAAGUUCACCAUUAUAUAUACCAAUUAUAGUUAAUUGAUGAUGUGUCAUGGAUGCAUAAAUGCAUAUUUGGUUUCAAAUUUAGAACCAAAGAUGCAUAAAUACAUAUUUGGUACGAGUAAAGGCCGUUUGACGUGAUUUAAAAAUAAUGUUUAUUACUUAUAAAUGAGAAGUUAAUUAUAAGUAAAAAGUAACUUUUAUCUUAUGAGUUGGGAUAUAUUUUUUGGUGUUUAUAAUUAAGUGGGUAUAAAAAUUAUUAAUAUAAUAAUAAAUUAUCUUUUAAAAUGAUCUUGUACAUAUUUGUAAAAUCAAGUAAAAAAAAUAAAAUAAAAUUAUCAAAAAAAGUUGAGAUUUCCAACUUCUCAGAUUAUGACUUAUAAGUUGGAAAUGAACUUAUAAAUUCGUCAUACAAAUAAUAGGAACAAAUAAAUUCAAAAACUGGGUUUAUAAGUGGAGUCAAACACAACCUAAGUCGCUUGUGAUUUAUAAGUCAAAAAACUGACUUUUAAAAUACAGUUAAACUGCCUCUACUAUUCAAAUUAGGUUUAAAAUAAUCCAUUGACCUAAUAUAAAUACUAAGUUUCCCUAAUAUAAUUGAAAUUAGCUGUACUAAGCUGAAAUAUGUCAAAUUCAUUCUAUUUUACUAAAGAGCAUGACGUUUCUCCAAUGCAUAAUUGUUUGAAUAACUUAUCUUUUAAUAUUAUAAAGAAAUAAUCCUUUGUACGCGUGAGUUACUUCUUCAAAUAGUUUUUGAUAUUUUUGCACCCCGGGCCUGGGAUCGUCUCAGACUCCUCAAGGGGCGGCUAGCAUCUGAGGGUUUUCAGUAGAUGUUCCCUUUUGCUGUUUUUAUAUCCUUGAUGUCUAAAUACUAAGUACUAAGUAGCAAGCUUUUGUUUUCCUAGGUUUGUCUACAUGCUUGCAUAGUUGCAUGACUUUCUUGGAGUCUCUUUCAUUUCUAUGUAGUUUGGUGCUCUAUGACUGGUUCUAUGCUUUUUUGUAUUGGCUUUGCUAAGUCAAUAUGUAAGAUGUUCCGAGAUUGAUUUAUAAACAGAUGUAUGGCUGGCUUUAUGCUUUUUUGGGUUUUUUUACAAUCGGAAAAUAUUUUUGUAAAAUUUUUGUAAUUUUUGAAGAAAAUUUGCAAAAAUAUAAUUUUACAAAUAAAAAUUGAAACGAUACUAAUUUCUGAAUUCAAUUUUGCAGAAAUACGGAAGUUUCAUUUGAUAAAAAAAAAGAGUUUGUUGACAUGAUUUCAAAUGAAACUUUCGUAUUUCUACAGAAUUGUUAUAUACACAAUCGUAAAUACAUAGAAAUUUAUAUUUGCAAUUGAUUGGAAAAAAGGAAAAAUGAGUGUACAAGGUCAAUGCUCAUAUCACAUAAAAAAUCACAAAAUCAAACAGCAGUUGUUGAACUCACAGUUUGUUAAGCUAACAUGGAGAGAGAGAACAGAAAAGUAAAACUUGUAUUCAACUAACUGAGUCUUACAGAGUGGCUUCACUACAAUAUAUACAAGCAAGCUAACUAAUUCUCUAACAAACUAUAUGCUGUUGACAGGCUGUAUGUACACGUGUAGUAUAGAGAAUAAAUAUUAAUCAUGUAAUGCCAACACCCCCCCGCAAGUUGGAGGGGAGCACACCCAACUUGGACAUAAUGUUCUGAUGUUUAACACCAUUCAGGGCUUUGGUGAACACAUCCGCAAGCUGUAAUGUAGUAGGAGUGUAGGAAAGUGAAAUAAGACCAGAACUUAGUUUUUCACGAACGAAAUGGCAGUCCAAAUCAAUGUGUUUCGUUCGCUCGUGGAAAACUGGGUUCUUAGCUAUGUAUAUUGCAGAUUGACUAUCACACUUCACUGGAAUAGGUGUCACAUCUGGAACAGAAAGUUCAUUUAGAAGACGAGAUAGCCAAGCAAGUUCAACAGUAAUGCGGCGGAUAGAACGGUAUUCAGCUUCUGCUGAAGAUAAGGAAACAGUGUGCUGCUUCUUUGAUUUCCAGGAAAUAAUGCUGUCACCUAGCAUAACAACAAAACCACUCACAGAUUUUCGAGUAUGUGGGCAAGCAGCCCAGUCUGCAUCGCAAUAGGCAGUAAGAUUGUAUACUGGAUUUGAGUUGUAAAAUAAACCUUGACUGGGAGUAAGCUUAAGGUAUCUGAGAACAUGUAAAGCUGCUUCCCAAUGUGGAACUCGAGGAGAACUCAUGAAUUGACUAAGGUGUUGGACAGCAAAAGAUAUAUCAGGACGUGUGUUAGUGAGAAAAUUCAGUUUGCCAACCAACUUUCUGUAUGAAGAGAAGUCAGAAACAGGAUCGCCUUGAUCAUGGAUAAGUUUAAUAGUAGGAUCGAGGGGACUGACUGCAGGUGGAGCAUCGAGACAAUCAAAUUCUUUGAGUAAAUCUUGAGUAAAUUUGGUUUGAGACACAACCAUACCAGAUGAAACAUUCUGAAAUUCAAGGCCUAAGAAAUAACUCAGAUUUCCCAAGUCUUUGAUUUUGAAGGUGUCGUUGAGAAAGGCUUUUACAGCAGUAAUCUCAGUUAAGUCAUCCCCAACCAGUAAGAUAUCGUCAACAUAGACAGCUAGAAAAACAGUAGAAGAUCCUGUUUUCUUGUAGAAAAGUGAGUAGUCAUUCUUGGAAUAAGAAUAUCCCCGUGACAAGAGAGCACAACAAAGUUUGUAAUUCCAAUUUCUGGAUGCUUGACGAAGUCCGUAAAGGGAUUUAAUGAGUUUGCAAACUAAUGUGGAAUCACUAACUUCAAGACCUGGAGGUAAUUGCAUAUAAACAUCUUCAAAUAAAUCGCCAUGUAAGAAGGCGUUGUUCACGUCUAGCUGGUACAUGUGCCAUUGUUUCUUAACUGCAGUAGCAACAAGAGUUCGAAUAGUUGUCAUCUUAACAACUGGAGAAAAAGUUUCAGUAAAAUCAAUACCAGCCUUUUGAGUGAACCCUUUAACAACUAGUCGAGCUUUGUAACGCUCGAUGGAACCAUCAGCAUUAUGUUUUACUUUGAAAACCCAACGACAGGAGAUUGCCUUUUUACCAGGAGGCAAGGGGACUAACUUCCAGGUAUUAUUGGCUUCUAAUGCAGAAAACUCAGCAGCCACAGCCUGCUGCCAUUCUGGGUAGAUCAUUGCUUCUGCAAAAGAUUUAGGCUCUGCAACUGGUAUUUGGAGAGGAAGUGGUGUGGGAAUAGCACAGCAAACAGAUUGAGGAGAAAGCAAUGAAUUAAGAGGAAUACAAUUUGAGGUAAUGGUGCAUGAACACAAAGAAUCUGAACAAGCAUUAUGUACAGAAUGAACAUAAUCUGUUAGAUAGUUUGGCAGUUUUGAAGUUCUGGUUGAUUUUCUGAGAGGUGGUGGCUGUGGUGAAUCUGAGACAGAACUUUCAGAUUGUUGAAAUGAAGAGGAGGACUGUAUAGGUGUAUGAGAGACUGUAGGAGUAGAAGAGUGUAUGGGAGACUGUGUAGAAAGUUGUGAAGGGAUAGACUGUGAUGAUGACUGUGAUGGUGACUCAACAGUAGGAGUAGAUUGAUCAGGAAUAGGAAAGUCAGGGACAGGUAAGGGAAAGAAUGUAGAGGAGUUAACAUCUACAUAUGGAAAAUGGUUUUCAUAGAAAACAGCAUCUCUGGAAAUUAAAAUUUGCUUUGUUUCCAGACUGUAAAAUUUAUAGGCUUUCUUGCCCUGUGGAUAACCAAGAAAGACACAAGUGAUUGCUCUGGGGGUGAAUUUAUCCCUGACAGCAUCUCUGGAGAUUAAAAUUUGCUUUGUUUCCAGACUGUAAAAUUUAUAGGCUUUCUUGCCCUGUGGAUAACCAAGAAAGACACAAGUGAUUGCUCUGGGGGUGAAUUUAUCCCUAUGAGGUUUUGGAGUAGUCACCAGGCUUAAACAACCAAAAGGUUUUAAGUGAUCAAAACUGGGUUUUUCCUUGAGUAAUACUUCAUAAGGGGAAAGAUUAUUUAAAACUCUGGAAGGAAAGAGAUUAAUAAGGUGAGUGGCUGUAAGGAUGCAAUCACCCCAGAACUUAACAGGAAGCUGUGAUUGGAAGAGAAGAGCUCUGGCUGUCUCUAGUAAAUGCUUGUGUUUUCUCUCCACAACUCCAUUUUGUUGUGGAGUAAAAGCACAAGAAGUCUGAUGUUGAAUGCCUUUAGAUUUAAAGAAAUCUUUAGCAGCAUGACUGAGACCAAUUUCUAAAGCAUUAUCAGACCUUACUGAUUGUACAGGUAAUUUGAAUUGUUUCUCAGCUAAGAUAAUGAAUGAUUUAAGGAAGUCAAACGCAGAGCUUUUGUUAGCAAGCAAAUAGGUCCAAGUAGCUCUAGAAAAAUCAUCUACUAUGGUAAGAAAAUAUCUGAAUUUGUUGUAAGUGGGAACCUUGUAUGGGCCCCAAACAUCAACAUGAAUUAAUUGAAAAGGACUUUUACUGUGAAUAUGACUGACAGGAAAUGGCAACCUUUGUUGUCUUGCCUUAGCACAAACAAUACAAGGUACAUCAAGCAUAGAGUCAACAUUACAAAUAUGUAAUGAUUUAAGUUUGUCAAAAGGUAAAUGACCUAAUCUGGUAUGCCACAUCAUGCAUUCUUUAUUAUUACUAGCAAAAGUCUUACUAGUAUUAGCAAUAGAAGCAGAAAUGACAUUUGGAAAGGUGACAGAAGUGUCUGAUGAAGAUGAUGAAGGUGCAGAGCUGGAAUAUGAAAGAAGAUACAAGCCUUUAAAUGCUUUACCAAUUUCCAGUUGUCUCUUCUGUGAAGAGUCCUGCAAAUAACAAAAGUCAUUAGUGAAUUGUAAGGUACAAUUCAGCUGACUUGUUAAUUUGCUCACAGAAAGAAGAUUGAACUGGAACAGUGGAACAUAUAAGACAUUGGCAAGAGUGAUAUCAUGUGAUAUUGGAACAGUGCCAAUGGAAGUGAUGUGUAAAAUGUGACCAUUAGGCAGAGAUAUGGUUAGAGGUGUGUUUAAGAUGGUAAGUGAACUGAAUAAAUGUUUCUGUGAACACAUAUGAUCAUUAGCCCCACUAUCUAUGAUCCAAGUAGUAGAGUCAGAUUGUGACAUACAAGCAACUAUAGAGUCUGAACAGAGAGAGUUACCAGCAAAGUUUGCAUAAGAAGUAUCUUGAUCUGGUGGCUUAGUAGUUUUGAGAAGCUGGAGCAAUUGAGAGUACAAUUCUGGAGUCAUAGCUGGAGCAGAAUUAUUUGAUGAAGUUGUAGAAUCUGCAACUGUGUCAGGAGUAGAAUCAUGUUGGAGGACAUCAGCAUUUGCAGCAAACCUUUUAGUAGACUUUGUGAACUUGAAAUCAGAUGGGAAGCCAUGAACUCUGUAACAUUUGUCAAUAGUGUGCCCUGUCUUCUUGCAGUAUUUGCAAGUAAGAUUAGAUUUCUUGAAUUGACCCUGAGAAGCCUGAGAAGUCUGAGAAGAAAAUGGCUUGGAAUUGACAUGAAGUGAUGUAGAAUCUGUUAUCAGAUUGUGAGAAGAAUGAAUUUCUCGUUGAGCUUCUUCCUGUAGAAGAAGAUUGUACACUUGACUGAUGGAUGGCAGAGGAUUGGACAUCAGAAUAGAACCUCUCAUCACAUUGUAAGAUUCAUUUAGACCCAUAAGGAAUUUGACAACUCGUUGAUUCUGACGCAAAACAGCAUUCUUAGGUGCUGCUUCACAGGUGCAAACAGGAGUGAGGCAAAGAGAAUCAACAUCAUCCCACAAGACUUUCAAUCUAGUGAAGUAAUCAGCAACAGUGCUAUUUCCUUGACGUAUUUCACAAAGAUCCUUUUGCAAAGCAAACAGUUGUGUUCCAUUAGAGACAUUAUAGCGCUCAUCAAGUUCUUUCCACAUUUGAUAAGCCGAAUCAGCACGACUAACACUACGAGCAAUGGUCUUGUCCAAGGCACCAAGAAUCCAUGAAAUUACCAUGUCAUUACAACGAGACCAGCUGGUAAACGAAGGAGAAGAAGGAUCUGGUUCUGGAAUCCUUCCAUCAACAAACCCUAACUUGUUGCGAGCAGAUAAGGCAAUUCUCAUUGAUCUUUUCCAACUACUAAAUCCAGUUCCAUCAAAACAAUCACUCACAAGUUUCAUUCCUGGACUGUCUGAUGAUUGCAAAUGCAGUGGAUUAUCUUGAAGAGUGGUAGAAUUGUGAUCGAAAACAUGAUUGUUUGAAGAACUCAUGAUGUUACAACUCAAAACAAUCAAUCAAUUAAGAAGGGAAGACUAAAUCUCUGAAUUAAUCGCUAUGGUAACGAACAAUCACCAGAGUAAAACGAGCAAGAUUGAACAAUCACGAAUCAACAAAACAAUCUAAAGAUGUUUACAAACAAAUAUGUACAGUAACAGAGAGGAAUAACGAAGUAAAGUGAGAAACGAAAUCACCGGAGAAAUCACCGGAGAUGAACAAGCAGCGGAGAUGAAGGAACAAGCAGCGGAGUUACAGCGGAGAUGAACGGAGAUGAGUAGAUCGGUGUCGCUCUGAUACCAUGUUGAACUCACAGUUUGUUAAGCUAACAUGGAGAGAGAGAACAGAAAAGUAAAACUUGUAUUCAACUAACUGAGUCUUACAGAGUGGCUUCACUACAAUAUAUACAAGCAAGCUAACUAAUUCUCUAACAAACUAUAUGCUGUUGACAGGCUGUAUGUACACGUGUAGUAUAGAGAAUAAAUAUUAAUCAUGUAAUGCCAACAGCAGUAAAUCAGAUCUUCAAAUCUGAGAUUAUAUUUUUGUUAUUUAUACAAAUAUUUGAGAUAUAAUCAAAAAGAAAAUUUGAUAUAUUUUAAUAAUAAAACUUGUUAAACUUGAAAACUAGCGCUUGAUUUCUCUGAAUUUUAAUAAAUUUAUAAUAAUCAAAAAGAAGUUUUAAUAAAUUCUAAAUUUGUCAAACAGAGUUUUAUCGUCUACCUAAACUAUUAAAAGAAUUUAACCAUUUCAUUCUCGUACUAUAAAUAGUAUUCUGCAGGAGCAAAUAAUUCACCAUCUCGACUUUGCAAUUCCACUCAUUGUAUUCUCAAACUCUUCCCUUUUCUUUUUACUAUUCAUAACAUAUAUACAAAAACAGAAGUUGAAAAAAUCAUUAUGGAUCCAACUAGCAUUCCCGUUGUGGGAAAAAUUGUGGAGAAAAUAUCCGAUAUAAUCGUGGCAGCUUUGUUUAGCCAUCUAAACUAUAUGUUUUGCUCCAAGUCUCUUGUUGAAGAUCUCAAAUCUGAGAAUGAAAAACUUGAGAUCGUGGAGAAUGUGAUGUCCAGAAAAGCUGAUGAAGAAAGUAACAACAGCAGAAUAAUGGAGAAGCAUGUGGUGGACUGGAAAAAAGCUGCCAGACAAAACCAGGAGAGUGUUAAAAGCUGUUUGGAAAAAUACGAUAACCGUCCUUCAGGGAGGUGCUUCCGGGGCUCCUUCAAAUUACUAACCACCCGGAACAAAAUCUUUACAAAACUAACCACCUUUUUUUUCACUUCACAAAACUAACCACCCUAAUUCAUAAUCAUCCAGAGGCGAACACCACACAAAAUAUUUUUGCAGGAGGCCCUUCCCAGGGGCGAACAACAAAGAAUUUUCCUUAUAUGUUCGCCCCCCCCCCACGGGCGAACAUAGUAGGGAAAUUUUUUGUUCGUUUGCUCAAAAAUUCUUCACUUUUCAGUUCGUUUAUUUAAUUUAUAAAAAAUUCAAAAAAAGGGAAAAUUGUGAUAAUUUAUAUUAUUAUAUUUUAUAAUAUUAUAUUAUAUAAUGAUAUAAUAUUACAAAAUUAUUUUAUAUUAAAAUAUAAUAUUUUAAUAUUUAAGUUCAUAUUUAAGCUCAUAAAAGAUAAAUAAUAUUGUUAUUGUUUUAUUUUUGUUAAUCCGAAAACGUCAUGUAAUAUCUUGUCCCGAAUGCAUUUGAUCAAACACAGCACUUUUAUUCAUAGAAGAUAUUAAAACAACGAUAACACGACUUAAAUUGAAAAGCAGAAAACAAUCACGACGAAACUACAGACCACUUAAUCGUCCUCGGACGACAUUACACUAUCAGAAUAAUAAUCCGGAGUGGUGACCAAUGCAAGGUAUUGUUGUUCCUUAAACCGGUCCCCUUCUUCCCGAAACAUCCUAGCAUCAUCGUAUAGACUAUGACGAUGCAGUCGCAGAUUCAUGCGAUUCUCCUCUUCUCUCGCUCUGAGAGGGCGGCCGUCCACGCUGCUGCGGCNNNNNNNNNNNNNNNNNNNNNNNNNNNNNNNNNNNNNNNNNNNNNNNNNNNNNNNNNNNNNNNNNNNNNNNNNNNNNNNNNNNNNNNNNNNNNNNNNNNNNNNNNNNNNNNNNNNNNNNNNNNNNNNNNNNNNNNNNNNNNNNNNNNNNNNNNNNNNNNNNNNNNNNNNNNNUCCCGAAAGGACGGGUCCUGGGUGAAGUGGGGGAGGUGUGUGAUCCUCUAAGAAUGACAUGUCAGGACGAUAUACAUAUGACUCUGACAAGUGAUCCUGUGACGGACCCUCAUCGUCCUGUGCCUCAUCAUCCCCUAAUCUGCUCCUUUGGGGCCAUGGAACCCCCUCAGAUGUAGAAGGCUGAAUGAAUGGAGACCAACCACCAGCCUCAAAAGUACCUGCUCCAUCAUGACCUGCAGAAUGUGAGGUGCCUGCAAGGUGUGAGCUACCCACAUGGGUGUAGUAAGUGCCCUCUUCGGGCACUACCGGUGUGACUGGUGGUCGUCCCCUACGCCCUGCAGGAGCCCGUGCCCUAGGUCUGGCAGGGGCCUGUUCCGUAGGUCGACGCUGUACACGAGUAACCAUAUCCUGUAAAAUAUGGUUUGCCAGACCCAAAUCAGGAGCAUAAGGGUCAAUGGCACGCUGCAUAGCGGAUAACUGCUCCUCCUGUUUACAAACAUGUAUAUUUAAGUCAGAACAGUGUACAAAACAAGCUGAGAACAUGUAUAUUUAAGCAUGUAUAUUUAAGCAUGUAUAUUUAAACAUGUAUAUUUAAGCUGUAUAUUUACCAGUUCCGGUGUCGAGAGCUGUGUUCCCUGGAAGGCACCCUCCUGCUGUGGCCAGUGUAAGGGGUUAAUGAUGAUUCGACGUGUGACCCUGUGGAACCAUGGCAGGUAUGAGGCAGUGCAACCCUCGCCAUGCAUAAGUGGAGGAGAUGCGAGGGCACGCUCCAUGCGCGAAUCCCAAAGAUCAACAAAUGGCUCCCUCGCGUACAUCCAAUCAACCUGCUCGUUGUAGUGGUCGUGCGAUUUGCAAAAAUAAAAACUGCAAAUAAAAGUACAUUUGAUAAGUUCGAGGUCUUUAAUAUUCUCAAUCCUGAGUUAUGUCGACAUAAUAGUCGGAAUCAUAAUCUUCAUCAUCAUCUUCAGCAUCAGCGGCCACCGAGGUAUGCUUUUCAUAGGUAAAUCAGCAUAUGGCCUCCAUCGAAACUGUCGGGGUGUCAACGCAUCCAACUCAUAUUGUGUCAUGCGGCUCUGCGCAUGCGGCACCUGACAACGCCUAAGUGGCGCCUUCCACCUACAGUGGAAGUUGGCAUAAGUGCUCAGAGGUUAUACAUGCAACAAAUAUGAAUUGAAGUUAAUCAACAAAAGGAGUGACAACAUACCUCAGCGCCAGCGGGUACUCGAACAAGGGUUGACCCCUGUGCCUAGGCGCUAGUGACGGAAAGCGCUCGUAAAUCCACACCUAGCGGCAAGGUUAGUACAAGUGCACAUGAUGAAUAAAUAAUACAACAAUAAAGACGAGAAAUAAAUAUUACUUAAUUUUAAAUUCGAAAUAAUUAUCUCUAACUAUUUUUACAAAUCUGAUUUUUUUAAUUUAAACUAGUAAUCUAAACUAAAAUUAGCACUACCACUACUAAUCAACAACAAUCAUCACCAACUACUAAUCUAUUUAAUUUAAUGGUGUCAAGUUUACUUUUAAAUUCGAUUUAAUUUAAUUUCAUUAAAUUCAAUAAAAGCUAAAAUUAAAUUGAUUACUGAUGAUUAGGGUAGGGAGAGGAAUAUGGUACACCCUGCAUAAAACCAAACUGCCUCGUCACCCUGUCCGUGUAGCACCACUCGACGUAGGACAUGUACAUCAUGGGGGCGGGAGCCGUCCAACGCAAGUACACAGUGGCCUCCGGGUGAUGCUCUGCAGGUAAAUCAGCAUAUGGCCUCCAUCGAAACUGUCGGGGUGUCAACGCAUCCAACUCAUAUUGUGUCAUGCGGCUCUGCGCAUGCGGCACCUGACAACGCCUAAGUGGCGCCUUCCACCUACAGUGGAAGUUGGCAUAAGUGCUCAGAGGUUAUACAUGCAACAAAUAUGAAUUGAAGUUAAUCAACAAAAGGAGUGACAACAUACCUCAGCGCCAGCGGGUACUCGAACAAGGGUUGACCCCUGUGCCUAGGCGCUAGUGACGGAAAGCGCUCAUAAAUCCACACCUAGCGGCAAGGUUAGUACAAGUGCACAUGAUGAAUAAAUAAUACAACAAUAAAGACGAGAAAUAAAUAUUACUUAAUUUUAAAUUCGAAAUAAUUAUCUCUAACUAUUUUUACAAAUCUGAUUUUUUUAAUUUAAACUAGUAAUCUAAACUAAAAUUAGCACUACCACUACUAAUCAACAACAAUCAUCACCAACUACUAAUCUAUUUAAUUUAAUGGUGUCAAGUUUACUUUUAAAUUCGAUUUAAUUUAAUUUCAUUAAAUUCAAUAAAAGCUAAAAUUAAAUUGAUUAUAUUUAAUCUACUCUUAACGUAAAUAAUACAACAAUCAUCACCAACUACUAAUCUAUUUAAUUUAAUGGUGUCAAGUUUACUUUUAAAUUCGAUUUAAUUUAAUUUCAUUAAAUUCAAUAAAAGCUAAAAUUAAAUUGAUUAUAUUUAAUCUACUCUUAACGUAAAUAAUACAAUAAUCAUCACCAACUACUAAUCUAAACUAAAAUUAUCACUACCACUACUAAUCAACAACAAUCAUCACCAACUACUAAUCUAAACUAAAAUUAUCACUAACAUAAGCUACUACCAAAUACCAACUAACAAAACCCAUUAUAAAUUAUCAAACAAAUUACUAAUCAAGUCUAAUUUUUAAUUCAUUCAAAAUAUGAGAUCUACACUAAUUUUCCCAAUUUUAUAAUUCGAAAAAAUUGUACUAUAUUUAGGAUUUUUUUAUGCAAUAUUUGUUAUUAAAUUCGAAAAUUAUUUUAAUUAAAUCAAAUAAUUAAAACGCUAGUGACGGAAAGCGCUCGUAAAUCCACACCUAGCGGCAAGGUUAGUACAAGUGCAAAUGAUGAAUAAAUAAUGCAACAAUAAAGACGAGAAAGAAAGUUGUGGUUGGUUUAGUAUUACCUGUACCAAUGUGGCGUAGCCACAGAAAUCAGUACAGUUAGCCCUGCUAGAAGAACAUAGCUUCUGGUAUAGGAAGCCAAGAACAGCACUACCCCAGCUAUACCGACGCAGCUGGUCCAUGUCCCUCAUUAACCAUAGAAGGUCAAGCUGCACGCGGUUCCCGCUGCUGUGGGGGAACAAUGAUCCAAUAACGCAUAGUAGGUGCGCCCGAAUAUGGUAGGUAACCUGUACACCAUAACCUAUAUCCUCUGGAUCCAACUGCUCCAACCGCUCACAAGACCCGAAGUUAUCCACAAGCCAUUUGAUCUUUAAACCACCUCGGUUAACAUCGUCCUUGGCUUCUGGUAAUAGCCCAAGAAAUUCGCCUACUAGCACGCGCCUUUCCUCCACGCUGGUACUCGCUCCACGGAGGAUCAGUGGAUCCACCCUCAGGUACGGGUNNNNNNNNNNNNNNNNNNNNNNNNNNNNNNNNNNNNNNNNNNNNNNNNNNNNNNNNNNNNNNNNNNNNNNNNNNNNNNNNNNNNNNNNNNNNNNNNNNNNNNNNNNNNNNNNNNNNNNNNNNNNNNNNNNNNNNNNNNNNNNNNNNNNNNNNNNNNNNNNNNNNNNNNNNNNNNNNNNNNNNNNNNNNNNNNNNNNNNNNNNNNNNNNNNNNNNNNNNNNNNNNNNNNNNNNNNNNNNNNNNNNNNNNNNNNNNNNNNNNNNNNNNNNNNNNNNNNNNNNNNNNNNNNNNNNNNNNNNNNNNNNNNNNNNNNNNNNNNNNNNNNNNNNNNNNNNNNNNNNNNNNNNNNNNNNNNNNNNNNNNNNNNNNNNNNNNNNNNNNNNNNNNNNNNNNNNNNNNNNNNNNNNNNNNNNNNNNNNNNNNNNNNNNNNNNNNNNNNNNNNNNNNNNNNNNNNNNNNNNNNNNNNNNNNNNNNNNNNNNNNNNNNNNNNNNNNNNNNNNNNNNNNNNNNNNNNNNNNNNNNNNNNNNNNNNNNNNNNNNNNNNNNNNNNNNNNNNNNNNNNNNNNNNNNNNNNNNNNNNNNNNNNNNNNNNNNNNNNNNNNNNNNNNNNNNNNNNNNNNNNNNNNNNNNNNNNNNNNNNNNNNNNNNNNNNNNNNNNNNNNNNNNNNNNNNNNNNNNNNNNNNNNNNNNNNNNNNNNNNNNNNNNNNNNNNNNNNNNNNNNNNNNNNNNNNNNNNNNNNNNNNNNNNNNNNNNNNNNNNNNNNNNNNNNNNNNNNNNNNNNNNNNNNNNNNNNNNNNNNNNNNNNNNNNNNNNNNNNNNNNNNNNNNNNNNNNNNNNNNNNNNNNNNNNNNNNNNNNNNNNNNNNNNNNNNNNNNNNNNNNNNNNNNNNNNNNNNNNNNNNNNNNNNNNNNNNNNNNNNNNNNNNNNNNNNNNNNNNNNNNNNNNNNNNNNNNNNNNNNNNNNNNNNNNNNNNNNNNNNNNNNNNNNNNNNNNNNNNNNNNNNNNNNNNNNNNNNNNNNNNNNNNNNNNNNNNNNNNNNNNNNNNNNNNNNNNNNNNNNNNNNNNNNNNNNNNNNNNNNNNNNNNNNNNNNNNNNNNNNNNNNNNNNNNNNNNNNNNNNNNNNNNNNNNNNNNNNNNNNNNNNNNNNNNNNNNNNNNNNNNNNNNNNNNNNNNNNNNNNNNNNNNNNNNNNNNNNNNNNNNNNNNNNNNNNNNNNNNNNNNNNNNNNNNNNNNNNNNNNNNNNNNNNNNNNNNNNNNNNNNNNNNNNNNNNNNNNNNNNNNNNNNNNNNNNNNNNNNNNNNNNNNNNNNNNNNNNNNNNNNNNNNNNNNNNNNNNNNNNNNNNNNNNNNNNNNNNNNNNNNNNNNNNNNNNNNNNNNNNNNNNNNNNNNNNNNNNNNAAUUCCAAAAUCGAAAUAAUUCAAAUUAAAUUCGAAAAUGUGAGAUUGCUUAUUUUUAUUCUAUUUUUUAACGUAAAACACCCAAAUUUAAUCUACUAACCUAAUUUCUAAAUUUAAUCUACUAACCUAAUUUCUAAAAUUAACAUAAUCUACUAACAAAUACCAACUAACAACAUUCAUUAUAAAUCAUCAUACAAAAUUACUAAUCAAGCUUGUCAUAUAAUUUGUAGCUACUAGCAACUAAGAACAAUCAUUAUAAAAUUUAUAAAAAUACAUGCAUGCAAUUUGAUGAGAUUGAGAAUGGUGGAAAAACCUUGAAAAUGGGUGAAAUUGAUUAAUUUGAUCCGGUGAAAGUAGCAAAGCAAGCUCCUUUUUCCCCCCUUUUCUCUGUCCGGAUCACCCUUUCUUCUAGAAAUUGAAGCUUGCAAUGUGUGAAAAUCUGAGAAGAAGCUGUUUGCUGCGGCGAAGAUGAAGAAGAAACAAAGGGGUUGGGGUUUUGAGGGGUAAAAGGGACACGUGGCCGCCCCUGACUGGGCCGGACACGUCAAUGCUUCACAGGUAUGUUCGCCCGUGGCAGGGGCGAACACACUUGCCUGGAGUUCUUCUGUUCGCCCGUAGCAAGAUCUGGGCUUAAAAAAAAAUUUCAGCUGUGUUCGCCCGAGGGGUGUAUGAAUUAGGGUGGUUAGAAAUGUGAAGUGAAAAAAAAGGUGGUUAUAUUUGUAAAGCUUUUGUUCAAGGUGCCUAGUAAUGUGAAGGAGCCGUGCUUCCGGUGUCUCCCAAUUCCUCAUCCCUUCUCCCGUUACAGAUUAGGCAUGGAGGCGGAAUCGAUAGCCAAGACAACAACUGAAUUAGCUACUUCCGGAAAUGGCUACCUGGCUCACCCAAUUGCAUAUCUCCCACUGGAUAUGAAAGCACCAGUAACUGAAUUUCAUGAAUUCAAAUCUAGAGAAGAGGCUUAUCAAAAGCUGGAAGGGCUAGUCACCGAUUCUAGUUCUUCAAUCCUUGGGAUAUACGGAAUUCCAGGAACAGGAAAGACUCGAUUAAUGGAGCGAAUCACGACAGAAGUUGGUAAGAAGGGAACCUUUGACAAGGUCGUACGAGCCAAUGUGAGGAACGCGAAGUUGGAUGUGAUAGGCAUACAACAACAGCUUGCAGGGAAGCUAGGUUGCGACUUUGAAUCUGAAACUGAUGUGGAACGUAGAGCUGGUCAGCUGAGAUCUAGUUUAAGGCAGGGAGGUAAGGUACUCGUCAUACUAGACGACCUAUGGAGUGAAAUUCCUUUAGAUAGAAUCGGAAUUUUGUCUGAAGAUGGUAUGAGUUCCAAGGGCGGUAAGAUUCUGUUGACAUCACGAAGUGAGGAGGUAUGCAAGAGCAACAAAUGCAAGCAUCCAGUCAAAAUACAACCUCUUACAUUUCCCGAAACUUGGGAUAUGUUCAGCAAAACAGUUGGUGCUGAUACAAUCAACUCUUUGCAGAAUAGAUCCCUUGCCUAGGACAUCUGUAAGAGAUGCGGGGGUUUACCACUAGUCGUUCUUGCUAUAGGUAAAGCGCUCAAAUUUAAGCGUCUUGCUUCAUGGAUGGAUGCACUCAAUCAACUUAAAAAUUCCAAUAUUGAAGAAGUUCCUGGAAUAGGUAAAGAAGAGUAUGCGUGUUUAGAGUUGAGUUUUGAUAACUUGGAGCACGACGAUGCAAAGAAAUGUCUCUUGUUGGCUUCUAUGUGCCCUGAAGAUGCUGACAUUCCUACGAGGAUGGUGGUUCAGUUAGCAAGAGGCUCCCAGCUUGUGAAGGGUGAUGAAAUAAAAUUAAGAGUACAUUCAAUGAUAUCUAUACUGCAGUCAGCCUCGUUGUCGCUUCAAGGGAAGGAUGGUGAUCAUAUCAAACUACAUGACAUCAUAAGGGACAUGGCAAGAUCCAUUGCCAAGAAACACCACGGAUUCUUAUUCGCAAGAAGUAGGUCGUUGCCCAAUGAUUCAGCUGAGUACUCUGGUCUGAAAGUUCUGCAUUUAGAUGUAGAGGAGACUCAUUCACGUUUUCCAAGUGAUGUGGAGUGCCCAGACCUGCAUCUACACUGUCACUACAUUCAUCAUCAUCUACAUAUAUUGACCCAACACCGAUGCAGGUAUUCAUAGACUGUUUUACAUAUUCACUCAAUUGAUGAUAACUAUGAUGAUUAGUGUUAUAGAACGUAAAUUGGGACCUUGUAGCACUUUUAAGCGGUUGAGUGAACGUUUAAGUAGAAUUUUGAGGCGCUCAAUAGCGGAUCAAUAAUAUAUAAUUAAAUAUUUAAUUGCAAUAUUAAUUUAGUUAAAACUAAAGUUAUCUAUUGGUUAGAAUUUAAAUUUAUAAUAUUUUUUAUAAUAUAUAUAUAUAUAUAUUUUUAAUUUUUAAUAUGACUAUAGUUAUAUUGUAAAAAUUAUUUUAAAAUUAAAAAAUUAACAAGUCAACAUCAUUUUGACCGCUUAAUGAUCGUUUAAUCAAUUUAUUGUCCGCUUAAUUUUCAAAACCACGUAAUCACUUUCAUACAAAAAAUUAGGCGGCCUCUUAAUGUGACACAACUGACGAUAAAAUAAAAAUAAAUGAUUUUUACGGUUCAUCAAUCAAUGCUAUCGUCUAGUAAUAUUAGCUGUAUCAAUAUUUUAUAAUUGUUAUAAUAUAAUUAUAUAUAAUUUUACUAAAAUAUAAUAUAAACAAUAAGUUAUAAAUCAAGUCAUGUUUUAGUGGAAUUGUAUAAUAUCAAAAAUUAAAUAUAUUUUUGAGUGUAUAAUUUUAAAUAUGAACUAAAAAUAAAAUAAUAUGUGAUACAUAAUAUUUGAAUCGGUUUAGUUGUUUAUAUUAAAAAAUUUAUUUAUUUUAAUCAUGAUCAAUUAUCAGGUUAAAUAAUAUAUAUCUGCUACUUAAUAUAUCAAUAAAAUUAAUUUUAUACAAAAAAAUAAUUAUUGAAAAAGUAUUUCAGUUAAAGAAAAGAUUUUAUCUUGUACAAAUCCCUCUAAAUUAAGUUACAUACGAACUAAACACAAAAUAUUAAAUCUUGUAAUAUUUAUUUAUAAAAUAUUAAAGUUAUAAAUAAAGAGUGCCAGUUAAUAUUUAUUUAUAAAAUAUUAAAGUUAUAAACCGUAUAGAAUUGAUUGGGACGGAGGGAGUAUGAAUUAGACUUGUUCAUUGAAUGACCGUUCAAGGAUUAAUCAAAUAAUUGAAUCAUUAAUCAGAACUAAUUAAAUAUUAUUUAUAAAAUUAUAUAUAAUUUGGAAGUUAAAAUUUAAUAAAAUAACUUAAAUUUAUAUAGGAUAAGUUUUUUUUAUUAUAUAUACAAUUAUCAUCAAGAAAAUUGACCAAAAAUAAAAAAAAUUUAACAAAAUCAUAUAUGUAUAUUUAAGCUUAUUUAAAUUAAAUUAAUUUUAAAAUUUCAAUUUUUUAUUUAUAAUUGAUCAACUUUUGAUCAAUCAGAUUUUUUAAAAAUUAUUUUUCGACACGAUUACUCAAUUCAAUCAAGACAGAAUCGGUCAAUUAAACAUCAACUCUAGAAGUUUAAAGGAACGCCUCCAACACACAACUAUAUUUUCCACAUUCACUUUUAUGAUUUUUUUUAUAUGUCACUUUUGACUUGUGUAUCUAGGUGUAUUGACUUGAUAGUAAAAAAUUAUUAUUUUUAAUUGAUUCUUUUUUGAAUUAAAAUUUUGAUUACGUAUUUUUUUUCAAAAAAGAAAAUUUCAAAAAUAAUAUUUUUAAUUCUCCGGUCAAAAUACUUAAAAGUGUGUGCUAAAAAAUUAAACGUCAUAUAUUAAAAAACAUAGGGAGUAUAUUCAUAAUGUGUUGUUCAAACGAUAUUCAUCCUCGUCCUUUUUAUAAGUCACUUGGACUUUUUACACAUAAUUUUAUAUUUUUACCACUUAUUUAAAAUUAUCUUUUCUAAUUUUUUUCUUAAUUAAAAUAUGAAACUUAUACUUUUAUUAAAAAAAUUAAAAAAUAUUAAUUCGAAGUAUGUGGUCAAAAUCAAAAAAGAAAAGAAGUCAAAGUGACUUAUAUAUAAAAUUAGGAGGAGUACAUGUAAAUAAAAAAAAAAUAAAAAUCACAAUUCUUUACAAAAAUUUCAGGAAUGGAUUGGUCAAGGUCAGCAGCUAUUUGCAAAUCUCAGGUUCUUGGUGCUUGUGGAGUUUAGUUGGCCGGAGAAGUUCUCUCUUGAAUCCUUAGACAAUCUUAAAACUCUUUGGUUCAUCACAUGUGACCUUGUCCAUUUUGGGAAGAGCGAAGUUGGAUUGCUUCCGAAAAAAACUAGAAAAUCUUUGUUUUUGGGAUUGUGAUUUUUCAAAAGAGCUGAAUUUAGCAAAACUAAAUCAUCUUCGCAAGUUAGAGAUCUAUAUCAACACGAGACCUUGGUUGUGGGAAGAUAAAAUCAUUGUGAAGCAGAAUACAAUAUCAAGACUAUCCGAUCUAGAAGAAUUAAGUUUCCCACUGAAUUCUACAUCCGUGAAGAAUGUGCAGAAGAUGGAUCAUUGCCGAUAUUAGACGAGGUCUGUAAAUUGUCACGCUUGACAAGUUUAAAUAUUUGUUCCCGAGAAUCCAAGUCAGGUAAACUUGCAACUAUAUUUUGCAACUUACGUGAAUUCCAUUUGUUUGUUGGUAAAAGACCAGAUUUUUGGUCUCCGGGAGUGUCUUCGAGGACCAAUUCAAUUACAUUGUCCAACCACGAUCUCAUAGAACACUACAAGCCUCUGUUUGAAAAGGCUGAAGAGGUGAUAUUGUGUGGUACUAACUUCACAGGGAGUAGCAUUGAUAUUAGAGACACUAAAGAAUUUAUCAACUUGAAGUACAUGAAGAUUCAGGAUUGCCGGUUCAUUGAGUAUUUGGCUAGGAUGUCACCGGGUAAUAAGAUUGGUGGAAGUCUUCCCCAGUCAAUACCUUUUUCUAACCUUACCAAAUUGAAAAUCAAUAAUUGUCACAGCUUAAAAUACCUCUUCUGCAACUCUGUUGCAAGAUGUCUUAACAAAGUGCAAAAGCUCAAGAUAGAGAAUUGUCAUAUGAUGGAAGAAGUCGUGCUCGGAGAAGGCACAAGUGAUGGAAAUAUGAGUAUGCCCGAAUUACGAAAAAUGACCUUAAUUGAUCUGCCAAGACUCAUACAUUUUUACAAGGAUAACACUUUCUCCGGGCAAAUUCAACCUCUCUUUAAUCAAACGGUAUGCUUGCUUAACCCUUAAAUAUGUUAUAAUUGUAUUCAAGCGAAAUUAGUAAAUUAUAUUUUCAAAUAUUUAAGCUACAUUUAUUUCAUUAAAAAUAAAUCAUUUUGUUUACUUCAUUGAGGCAAUAUAUUUGUUUUCUAGGGAUUAAAGUUCAAAUUGUCCACCUCAAAUAUUAGUAAUUGCCCAUUCUUGAUAUUUAUAUAAUUUUCAUAAACAUAUGAAAUCAUUGGCUUAAUUAACUUUCUACUAAGCUACAUAUGAAAUAUUAGUAAUUGUAAAUAUUGUACAAAAUUGGGAUAGGGCCACUGUGUACAAAACAUGUGAGAAAAUAUGAUUCCCUCCCCUUCGAAAAUAUCUACUUUCUUAUAUAGACUAGUACUCUCUGCACAGAGAUGAGUACUGGAGUAUAUACUCUCAGGAGUUAUACUUAUACAUGGCACUUGGAGUGAGUUAGAAAUAAGAACCGAACCAAAUACCCCUUUCUCUGAUGGUAUGUUUUGGUUGACUAUUUGAGCAGGUUGAAUUCCCUUUAUUGGAAGAGUUGGAUAUUAGUGGUCUGGAAGAUAUAACUGAUAUUUGGGGAGAUAAUAAUGGCAAUGCCUUCUCCUUUUUCGAGCUUAAGAAGUUGAAUGUAUGGAACUGUAAUAAGCUUAAAAAUGUGAUCCCACCUGCCAAGUUGCCUAGUUCACUCACCUCUGAAGUUGACACUCUUGGAAGCAACACAGAUUCGGUCGCUGGCAGAGCUUCUGAAGGACAAGUGAAGGCCAUGAAUUCUCAUAAUCCAAACAAAAAAUUACAAAUUUUUUUGAAGAAAACUGUGCUUGUGUCGAAAUCUGUAUGCAGGAGGACCCCGACGAUAACAGAAGAAAAUUUGAAUGAUCCCUCUGAUAUUUUAGUUCAAGUUCCGUCACAGAACACAAGGGUAUGUCCAUUGGUUGAAAUGAGUUUACAGAAAUUGCCUUGUUUGGAAAAGACAGGGUUGAACUUUGAGGAUCCAUCUGGAGUAGUGAGUACUUACCCAUAUCUUGAAAAAUUAAAUAUAUGUGAAUGCAACAGAUUGGAAAACGUGUUCAUAUCUUCUCGUGAUGCAAAUUUUAAGAAUCUUGAGGACAUGUCCGUCACUAAUUGCAUUAUAAUGAGAGAGAUAAUCGGGGCAGGUGACCAAAAAAUUGCCAAUGGCAUUGUGUUCCCUAAGUUAUGUUCUGUUAAACUAACGGAGUUGUUAAGUUUGACCAGUUUUUGGGGGUACCCGAGUGAAGAAGCUAACAGCCACAAGGUAUAUUUACAUUUACUGCCAAAUGAGUAACAUUGAUAACAUGCAUUUGUUUGUGUGCUUGAGUAUAUAUAUAAAUGCUUAAUUCUCUUAUGUAUGGCUGAUAAAACGCGAUAUUCAGGACCUGAUUUUCAUGUAUAUAUACUUAAAAUCUUCAUCUAGUUAGAGCUCCUGUUUGCUGUAAAAGUUUUUAGGUAAAGAUUUUCUAAAGUUAGGCAUAUGCAUUAUCAUAAAGAAUGACAUUGUUUUGUGUAGGUUGAAUUCCCAAAUUUGAAGAGUUUUGAACUCAGCUGUGGCAAAAUUACUAGCUUGGAAAUGAUAGAGUUUGGCAGCAGAGAUGGCUCUAUUUUUCGGCUGGAGAAGUUAGAUAUAAGUUGUGAUGAGGAGAUACAAAUUCCCAACCAAUGGCUACCUCAUUUGAAUAAUCUGGAAAGAUUGUCACUGAGACGCUGUUGGUCAGAUGAGCUGAAAUCUCUACAUUUCGCAAAAUUGAAGGUGCUCUUACUUCAAGAACUUAGUUGCUCAACUAUUUUCUCAUUCCCAGACUUUGAAAGACUUCAACAGCUCCGAGGAUUAGUGAUAACAAAAUGUAAUUCAUUGGAAGCUAUUGUGGAGGUUGUUGAGGGUGAAGAAGCUUCUGACAUGGAUACGGAGACUGUUGCACUAGUUCAGCUGGAAUCAGUCCAUCUUGAGGGUUUGCCAAAACUCAAAAGUUUUAUGCACACAAAGCCUAAGAAUCUUAUCCCCAGUUUAGAGCAUGUGGAAGUGGAGCCCUCCAUUCUUUUCAUGUGCCCUGUCUUUGGAAAUUUCCAACAGCUCAAAAGGUUACAAGUGAUUGAUUGCAGAUUGUUGGAAGGCAUUGUGGAGGUUGCAAGAGGCUAUGAGACGGAUGACAGGAUUAUCACAUUCCCUAAACUCUCUGACAUUCAUCUUAGAGAUUUGCCAAACCUCCAAAAUUUCAGUCCCACUACAAGCUAUAGUUUCAACAUGCCCAAAUUAUUUCAUUUUCAUAUGUUUCGUUGUCCCCGGGUUGAGAAUAAACCCUUAUUACAAAUAAUCGCACAACGGGUACUUGUUUAUUCCGAUGAGCAUCCACAAGGGAUUGUCAUUCUAAACCUCAACGAGUACACAAGAAGAAUAAAAAACCUCGAAAGCGUCGGGGAAUCAAGUAACAGCCAUCAGGAUGUGGAGAUGGAAACCAUAACAGUUGCAGAAGAGGAAGACAGAGUUGUUGAACAAGAGGCAGAGGUAGUUGUUGUAGGAGAAGAAAGAGGAAUAGAGGAAGAUUCGUAAUUCAAUUGUUUUUCAUCAACUCAGCUUUCUUUUCCUUUCUUUCUCAAAUGUCUCAGACUGUGCAUUGUUUUGUAUUUGUUUUUCAAGGAAAUCUGACGCUGAAUUGUGAGAUGUGAAAAGUGUCAAGCUCUUAGCUAUUUGAAUUACAAGAUCAACAGACAGGCCUUGUCUUGGAGGUUCUUCGACUCAAGUAACACAUUCUUCGUUACUACUUUAUUCACAUAAGUCAUUACUUUUUUUAUCUUUUGAUAGCAACAUAUAAAUCACUGGAUAGGUUUGUCAUUAGGUUAGGUUCUGCGUUUUUAACAGGUAUGACAGAUUUAACAGGUUAGGCUUAUUUCCAGAUUUCCUCCCUUGCAACUUUUUUAGGCCUCCCUGAAAAGUUACGGUCCGAAAUGUGUACUUACUUACUUUGUUGAUGUCUCGAUAUAAGAAUCAAGAAAGUAAGGAACAGAAACUGAGCUCCGAAAAAAUAUUCAAUGAUGAAUGCAAGACAUUCUACUUUGCGGGUAAGGAAACGAAUGCUAAACAAUCUUGUGUCUGUGGAGAGAGUUCAUCUCCAAGUGCUGAUAAUUUAACCGACUUAAAGAUUGUAAGUCAUAUUUUCAUUUCAUACUGCUUUUUUUAAAUUUGUUGUUUUCAUAGAAUUAACGACCUUUUUGAACUUCUAAAAUUAACUAGAAGUGAUAAAUCUAAAUGGAUAUCCUUGCAUUCAACAUUGGGAGAGUGAUAAUUAGUAAUACCCGAGUGGAUAAAAUGCCUGAAUUGUGUGUGUUUGUUGGCAGAUAAACAUGAUUCUGAAUGAAACACUUCGACUCUACCCACCAGAUGUGAUGCUAACGAGGGAGACGAAUAGAACUGUAAAGCUAGGCAACCUCCAAAUUCCAGCUGAAACGCAGCUCUAUUUGCCUAUGACUGCAAUUCAUCAUGACACUGACAUAUGGGGAGCAGAUGCAAAAGAGUUCAAUCCUAUAUGUCCAUGCUCCAAGGCAGUUGAUGACCAUGCAACCUCAAUUUGGGGCACAAAUACUUUUUACUAGAAUUCCCUGAGUGAAGCCUAUAAAACAGACCAGAUUAUUGUUUUCGACUAAUACUUUUGUCUUGUAGAAUAUUAUGACAGGUCAGCUCAAUAUGUAUGUAUAACACAAUAUGAGUGGCAACAAGCCUUCUAAUUAUAUAUUUCAAGAUUUUUUAAAAUGCGAGUUUGAACGGUCUUCUACCAAAGGCACAGGAAAAACGAACCUAAAAAGUCGAUCUUCAUUUAUAUUUUGACCAUGUAAUGUUGAUCUUACAAACUUUGUCAGAUCAUGUGUUGUUGGAUUGAGGUCUAGUACGGUGGUCAUCACUAAAAUUUACUUUAAAGAGAGAUUUUAAAGAAUUCAUCUGUUCCCCAAUGAACUCUGGAAAACCCCUGCCGGGAUUCUGUUAUAUUUAUUGUUGAUGAACAAAUCUUUGUUCUUUUGUACUUGAGGGUUAAAUUUUAUGCGGUGUUUUAGUAUGAUAUCGGUCCUGGUUCUAUGGAGUUGGCGGAAAUUUCUUAUCUUUUUGGAUCUAUAGGGACUCAGCGCUUGUUGGUGACACUCUUUAUUCUAUGGUCUGUGGAAGUUACUCACAUUGAAGAUGGAGGUAUGAGAUCAGUGUUAAAUGGAGGUUGUUUGAUACGGUUCGAAUGCAUAGAGAAUAGGCCCAUAAAUGUCAACAAAAACAGUGACUCCACGUCCACGAGACGGAAGUUCCUGACUAUGAAAAAUUGAUUUUUUUCCCUUUUUCUAUAAAUCUUUGUGAAGGUGGGGAAUCUCUUUUUACUUAAAAAAAUACGGUUGUUUUAUGGUGGGCACACACUAAACACUAAUUUUUAUGAUUUUGGUGCAUUCUUAUUGGUCAUGUAAUCAUAAAUAUGAAUGCCUCCUACAUUUACACCAAAUCCACCAAUUAAAAUCCACUAAACUCAUCAAAUUUAGUGCUUAAUGUGUGCUCUUGGACACACACUAGAAAGAUCCCAAAAAAAUAUACUCCCUCCGUCUCGUUAAACUUUUCCUGUUUCAAAUGUUGGGACUGUUCAUAACAUGAGACAAAUUAUUAAUUUACGUCUAAUCUAUAAGACUAAAUAUAGUCAUGAGUGAUCUUGUUGGAUUCGUAUUUACGAGUACUUUAAUACAGUGAAAUUUUUAUAUUUAAUGCUAAUACGAAAUUAAAGAUAUUAACGAUUAAAAAUGUGCGUUGGCAAACGUGUCCGGUCAAAACAGGAAAAGUAUUUAGAGACGGAGGGAGUACAAAGUUGGUUUGGAUGUUUGGCGAUACCGCCGCGAAGCACGACCUUGACAAUUAGUUUAUUAUAACAUAAAGAUUCUAAUAUUAUUAUAGAAAUGAUACUCCAAUGCUAAAUAUGCUUUUCAUCUUAUAAACACUAUAAAUUAUUAAUCCUUUUUAAUUUAUAGUAAAGUAGCUGUAUAAUGUAUAAAAUAAUUACUAAUGAUUCGAAAGGCACUAAUAAUUCUAAAGGCGCCCGCCAUAGUUGAACUGCCCACUUUAGUCCAGAGAGCAUUCAACAAACAAUACACCAAUGCAUUGAAUAAACUCAGCCGGCUGAUUCCUUUUUCUUAACCUUUAGAAUUAUUAGUGGUUUUUGAAUCAUUAGUAAUUAUUUUAUAAAAGACACCCACCCACUAAUGACCAAUCAAAUACAAAAGACGCCAACUAAUCUUCCACUAAUGUCAGUUUACCAACCCGGGAGCAUCUUCUGCUUAUUUCCUGUCAUCUAAAAAAAAAAAAUAUUUUCAUAAUUCUAAAAUAUAAAAACUAGGAAUUAAUGAUCAGAACAAUUAUAUUGAAUAAUUAUUUAGUUUUACGAAGUUUCCUAUCAGUCUAAUCGCAAUCUCCUUCCCUUGAUAACUGUUAUCGUCUCCCAUUAUCAUUAACUUCAGCCUAGAAACUGGAAAAUAAAAUAUUAAUGAUUAUUCAAUUCUAUUCCAGCCUCUAUCCUAAUUUUACAUACAGAUUUUAUAGUGUGUGCUGAGCACAUAUUAAAAUCCACUUUUUAAUUAGGUGUUGUAUAUUGACUCGCAUCCCUUUAACAAUGAUGGUCAUCUUCCUCUUAAUUAAAAAGUGUACCGACCCUUUUCCAUACUCCUUCCGUCCUAUUUGAUUGUAUACAGUUUCUUUUUUGGAUGUCCCAUCAAUUGUAUACAUUCCAAAAAUGGUAAAUUUUUAUAAUAUAAAAAACUUAACUACACUCACUGCCUUCUUCCACUACACCCGCUUUAUACAUUAAAAAUUAGUAGGUUCCACCAUUUUACUAACCCUACACUUAUUUUACACAUUAAAUAUUAAUGGGUCCCACUAUUUCAUCCACUUUUCUUACUUUCGUGCCACUUCCCAUACGUAUACUAAUUACUGGGACGGAGGGAGUAUAACUCUUGUUAAUAAGCCAGGCAUACGCAAGGGUCAUACGUACCUAACCUUGCUAUCUACUCCAAUAUUCUCAGUCUAAAGACUCCAAACGGAACCUUUCAAACAUAAACUGUUACAUACAGAUAUAAUAUAUAUUUGAUCAUAGUUAAAAAUUCUAAACGCUACUGGUGAGUGGUGAUUGGAGAACUUGUACGAUAAAUACUGCACACUAAGGGAGAAUUCUGAAAUUCUUUUUCCCACUCAUCUUAUUGUCUGAUCAUCAACUCGCUUCUAGCUUUCCUCGCUAUAUUAUUGCCGCCCAGCUCUUUUCUACUUCUCUCUUGUUAGUCAUUGUUGAAGUUUAAGCAAUUUCAUCAGCAUCUUUCCUCUCUUUUCACCAUAAAAAAAAUUUGAAAAAAUCAUGAUAGAUCUGAAUUCCAUUCCAUUUGUAGGACCGUUGGUAGCUAAAAUUUCCGACAAGACAAUAGAAGCACUGUUCCGACAUGUAGAAUAUAUGUUCCGUUACAAGGGUCUUGUUAAGGAUCUGAAAUCUGAAAAUGAUAAACUUCUGGCUGAGGAGACGAAGAUGUCCAGAAAAGCUGAGCAAGAAAGUAACAAUGGUAGAAUACUGGAGAAGUAUGUGGUGGAGUGGCAGAAAGAAGUCCAAGAAGAGCAGGAGAAAGUCACGAGGUGUUUGCAAGAAAAUGAGAAGCUAAAGAGCCAACAGCAAAACUGUCCUCGCUACAUCCGCUAUAUCCCACUUCCUCAUCCCAUCUCUCGUUAUAGAUUAGGCAAGGAGGCGGCCAAGGUGGCCAAGAGCACAACUGAGCUUACUGCAACCGGAAGUCACCACCUGGCAAGUCAAAUUGCAUAUCUUCCUCUGGAUAUGAAUGUACCUGUAACUGCAUUUCAAGAGUUCAAAUCUAGAGAAAAGGCUUAUGAAAAGCUGGAGGAGCUAGUGACAGAUGGAAGCUCUUCAAUCCUUGGGAUAUAUGGAAUUGGAGGAGCCGGGAAGACUCGAUUAAUGGAGCGAAUCACCACAGAAGCUGGUAAGAAGGGAACCUUUAACAAGGUCGUCCGAGCCAAUGUGGGGAAUGAGAAAUUGGAGAACAAGACCAUCAUAAGCAUACAAAACCAGAUUGCAGGUAAUUUAGGUUGCGUUUUUGAACGUCAAGAUGAUGUGGGACAUAGAGCUGGUCAGCUGAGAUCUAGUUUAAAGCAGGGGGGUAAGAUACUCAUCAUCUUAGAUGAUGUAUGGAGUAGGAUACCUUUAGGUACUAUCGGAAUCAUGUCUGCAGAUGGUAUGAGUUCCAAAGGAGGUAAGAUUCUUUUGACGACACGAGAUCACGAGGUAUGCCAGCGUAACGACUGCGGGGAUCUAGUCAAAGUAGAACCUCUUACACCUGCCGAAGCUUGGGAUAUGUUCAGUGAAACAGUUGGUGCUAAGAUAAUCGACUCUCUGCAGAAUAUAUCCGUUGCCGAAGACAUCUGUAAGAGAUGCGGGGGUUUACCACUAGUCAUUCUUGCUGUAGGUAACGCCCUCAAAUUUAAGCCUCUUGAUUCAUGGAAGGAUGCACGCAAUCAACUUAAAUUUUUCAAAAUUCAAGAACUUCCUGGAAUAAGCAAAGACGUGUAUGCGUGUUUAAAGUGGAGUUUUGAUAACUUGGUGGACGAUGCGAAGGCAUGUCUCUUGUUGGCUUCUAUAUUCCCUGAAGAUGCUCACAUUUAUGUUAGCGAGUUGGUUGAGUUAGCAAGAGGCUCCCAGCUUAUAAAGGCUGAUGAUAUAAGAACAAGAGUAUAUUCAAUGAUUUAUAUUCUCAAGUCAGCCUCGUUGGUGCUUCAAGUCCGUUGGGGUAUUAUUGAACGUAUCAAACUACAUGACAUAAUAAGGGACAUGGCAAGAUCCAUUGCUACCAAAGACUACGCAUUCUUAUUCGCAACAAGUAGCUCGUUGCCCAAGCAUCCUGCUGAUUACUCCGGUCUGAAAGUUCUGCAUAUAGAUGUCGAGGAGGAGACUAGUCUACGUUUUCCAAGUAAUGUAAAGUGCCCAGAACUGCAUACACUGUCGCUAUAUUCAUCAUCAUGGACAUCAUCAUGGAAAACACCACGUACACUGAUACAGCAGGUAUUCAAAAACUGUUUUACAUAUUCGCUCAAUUUUUGAUUUAUGAUAACUAUAUAUCUGAUGAUAGAAUAAAAAUAAGUGAUUUGACGACAGAUAAGUUUAAACGAUAUGAAUUGUUAUGAAACAGGAUUUAUGAGUCACAUUUCAUUAAUUAAUGCUAUCGUCUAAUAUAAGCGUUAUUUAACUUUUAUAAUUAUUAUAUUAUAAUUGCUAUAAAAUUUUACUAAAUUCUGAUGUAAAUAAUAAAUUAAAUAUUGAGUCAUACAUUAAUCAAGAUUGUGGAAUUGUAUAAUAUCAAAAAUUAAUUAUAUUUUAGGUGUCUAAUUUUUAAUAUAAAUUAAAUUAAGUAAUAUGUGAUUUAUAAUACAUGAACCCGAUCCACUUGUUUAUUCUAAUGAAAAAAUAUUUAUUUUGAUCUUGAUUAAUUAACGAGAUAAAUAAAAAUAUAUACUAAUUUAAAUAUAUUAAUUAAAUUAAUUUUUUUAUUUAUGCUAAAAGAUUAAUUAUUUAAAAAGUAUUCCAGUUAAAGGGAAAAUUUUAUUCUUGUACAAAUACCUUUAAAAUAAAGUUACAUAUGAACUAAAUACAAAAUAUUAAAGUCUAUAAUAUAUAUUUAAAAUAUGAAAAUUAUAAGUAAAUAUUAAAAAUUUGUACAGGGAAAUACUCAGUUUAAAAGGAAGGCCUCCAACAAUUGACAAAGGCCAGGUAUUUUGGACAUUCUCAAACAUACUCGUAUGAUGUUUUUUGAACAAAAAGAACAAUCUUAUAAUAACAUAUUAUUAGACAGUGUUAUUUGAUUUGAAAAUUAUAUAUGAUUGAAUUUUUGGAAUGAUAUAUAUUUAAUAUCCCGUGAAAACUUCUCACUGUUAAUAUUGUUGUACUGAUUUUUACAAAGAUGACUUAUAAUACAUAUCAUAAAAAAGUUUAGUUUGAUAACUAAAAAAUUUAUGAAUUUUUUAUAGUCUUCUACUAUAAAUUUGAAAUCUUUUAUAUUUAUUUUCGAUUAUCGGAUAACUCUCUCUCGUAGGCUUUUGUUUAUCAAUGUUUCUAGAUUUCUUAAUCAUUCUCUCACAGUAGUAUGGAUCGAUGAUUAUGUAUUUUAUAUGUAUUAUAGUUUUAAAAAUUUUGUUUAGCCAAAUCUUUAAUUUAUCCUCAGUUUUCAUGGUACCUCUGUGCAUGAGGUAUUUACCUCAAAACAAAUUUGAUUAAAAAUAGAUCUAAUUUUAUUGUUUGGUUCAAAUAGGUAUUUUAAAUUGUUUAUUUUGCAUAUAGCUAAGUUUAGAGUGUUGUUUAUAAUUGGGUGCCGGCCCACUCUAAAUUUAUUUAUAUUAUACAUAUUCUACAUCCUCUUUUAUAUCAAAUUGUGCAUGUCUUUUAUUAUUUCAAUUCACCAACUAUCGGAUAAUUUAAUACAAAGUAGAUGUAAGGGAAUGCAUAAAUCACCACCCUUGUUAUUUUUAUAAGAAAAUAAUACAAAAAAUAAAUAUGAUUACUCUAAUGUUAAAUUUGAAGAACAUGUACGAGUUCUUUAAAAUUUAGUUGUUGUAUUUAAGAGCAUUCACAUCCGGACCCAACCCUCAAUCCCAAAAAUUUACUAAAAAUAUUAAUUCCUCAAAAAAAUUACAAAUUUUUAAAAGUUUCUUACAUCCCAUUCCCUAUAUUCAAUCCCUAUUCUCAUAGAAGUAUAAGAUAAGAAUUGAUAUUUAAUAAAAUUAUAAUGAAAUGAUAAUGAAAUGGAGGAUGAAUAAUGUAUGAGGUACAAAUAGUGAAACUCCAAAUAUGGGGAUUUAUUUCUAGUCCCAAAACCAAACCUUAUUUUGGGAUCUGAAUGUAGACUACGUUUUUACAAAAAAUAGUAGAUUUCUUUAAAAUAAAUUAUGGAGAUGCGGUUGGCUUUGGGGGUUAGGGAUGUGAAUGCUUGAUAUGAUUGAUCCAAAAUUUUGUUGUGGAAUAAUUGAUAUGGUUGAUCCAAAAUUUAGUUUUGGAAUGAUUGAUAUGAUGAUUGCUCCAAAAUUUAGUUUUGAAAAAAUUAGUACUAUUGAUUUAAAAUUUAGAUAUUAGCUUUAAUUGAUUAAAAAUGAAUUAAAUUUAACCGGAAGUUAGUUAAACUCAAUAAAAGACAAGAUCCAACCAAUAAAUUUGAUUGGUCUAAAAUUUAAUUAUGAUAGUUUAAAAUUAUUUCAAAAAUGGGUCUAAAAUUUAGGUGUGAAGAUUAAAAAUAAAUCAAAAUUCACGGUUAUAUAUCUCAAAAGAUGAAGACUUAACAUUAUUGAUCUAAAUUUAACCGUCAUAUCAAAUUAUCUCAAAAAUCACUAAUCGGUUAAGUCAAUGAUUCAGGAGACUCGUGUCUUUGUAAUUAUCUUCCUAUAAUUUUGAUAUGAAUAAAAUGAUUAUUUAUUCUUUUUUUAAGCAACAUAUACAACACAUAACACAUUUCAUCCUUAUUAUUGGUUAGCUUCCUGAAAAAGCGAAUCAGCGUGAUCUUUGCAAAUAUGAUAACUACACAGUUAUAAUAUUUGUUCGUAAAAUUUAUACCUUUAAACAUUUGAUUAGACGUAUAUGUGAGGUAGAGUUACCUAUCAAUCCUUAUAUUUGUUCCCAUAUUAUUAUUUUAAUAAUAAAUUUGAGAGACAAAAUAGAAAAUAGACAAAGACCAAGAAAGAAGAGGAGAGAUGAAUUUUUUAUUCAUAAAUAUUAAAUAUGUAAUGACCAAUAAUUAUUUAAAAAUAGAUAAUGGAUACCGUAUCUAAAUAUGAGUUUAAGAACUUAUUUAACUAAUCUAUUGGACUCUUUAAGAUCUCAUCCUCUUCUGUAAGGCCAUAAGUAGUCAUAUUUGUCAAAGAAAAUAAAAAAGCUGUUAUUUUGAAAAUUCUAAUUAUGUCUGCACUUGAUGCAUGUUAUAUGCUGGUGAAAUAAAACACAAAAAAUAACGAUUCUUGCUUAAAUUUCAGGACUGGAUCAACGGUAAAAUAUUUACAAAUCUCAUAUUUCUGGUGCUUGUGGGGUUUUCCUGGCCAAAGAAAUUGUCUCUCAAAUCAUUGGGUGAACUUAAAACGCUUUGGUUCGACAAUUGUGACCUAGAGUUCUUUGGUGAGACGGAUGUUAAAAUUCUUCCAGAGGGACUGGAAAAUCUUUGUAUUUGGGGGUCUCGUAUGCCAAAACAGUUGAAUGUACCAGAACUGAGCCAUCUUCGAAAGCUAGACAUCUAUUCCAGUUCCGGAGGUAGAUUAUGUAUGGUGCCAAAUACCAUAUCAAGACUAUCCACUUUAGAAGAAUUACGUUUGCCAUCUAAUUUCUACAUCAAUGAAGAAUGUGCAGAAGGUGGAUCAUUGUCGGUAUUGGACGAGAUUAGUGAAUUGCCACUGACAAGUUUACAUAUUCGUUCCCGAGUAUCCAAGUCAAGUAAACUUGCAACUAUGUUUUCCAACUUACGUGAAUUCCAUUUGUUUGUUGGUGAGCCGCCGGCUAAUAAUCGGUCUAUGAAUCUGUCACCUGUUUCAGUGACGAAGUCAAUUAAGUUGGUCAACCACGAUCUUGUAGAGGGCUACCAGACUCUAUUUCAGAAGGCUGAAGAGGUGAUAUUGUAUGAGACUGAUUUCCCAGGGAGUAGCAUUGGGAUCAGAGACACUAAAGAAUUUAUCAACUUAAGGUACAUGCAAAUUGAAAAUUGCAAGGCCAUGGAGUAUCUAGCAAGGAUUUCAUCACCACAGGGUGAGAUUCAGGAAAGUCUUCAGCGAUCAACACCUUUUUCUAACCUGAUCAAAUUGGAAAUUAAGUGUUGUCUCAGCCUAAAAUACCUCUUCUGCGACUCUAUUGCAAGAUGUCUCCUCCUACUGGAAGAGCUCCACAUAAGGGACUGUCCUUUAAUGGAAGAAGUUGUACGUGAGGAGGGCAAAAGUGAUGGAAAUAUCAUUAACAUGUCCAAAUUACGAAAAAUGAGCUUAAUUAAAUUGCCAAGACUCGUACAUUUUUACAAGGACAAGAUUCCCUAUGCGCAAAUUCAACCUCUGUUUGACAGAAUGGUAUGCUUUGCUUACCCCUCAUCAAUCAUCAUCAUCAUAUUAAUAAUAUUACUUACACUGUGUAAUGAUUUCAGGCAAAGUCAAUAAACUAUUUUGCACAUAAUUGAUUCUUUUUGGUUACUUCUUUAUGUCAAUAUAUUUGUUUUAAGGGAUUAAAGUUCGGAACUUGUAAUCUUUACAUUGUAUCAUGUACUCUCACAAGUAAUAAUGGCACUUGGAGUAAACUUUGGAAAUAAGAACCUAAACAAACACCCUCGGAACUUGUAAUCUUUACAUUGUAUCAUGUACUCUCACAAGUAAUAAUGGCACUUGGAGUAAACUUUGGAAAUAAGAACCUAAACAAACACCCGUCACGUAUAAAAAAAUAUGUUUACGCUGUUCAUGUAAUAUAAUUUUAAGAUUUUUAAUACAGUAGUAACUUUUUAUUACAAGUAGCACUUGGUUACAGUGUCCUUUCUGUUCUCUGAUGGUAUGCCUUUCACUGACUAUUUGAGCAGGUUGCAUUCCCUUCCUUGGAAAUGUUGGAUAUCAGUGGUUUGGAAGACAUAACUGACAUUUGGGGAGAUAAUCAUGACAAUGCUUCCUCCUUUUCCCAACUGAAGACCCUGAAAGUAAAAUUCUGUAAUAAGCUUAAAAAUGUGAUCCCACCUGCCACGUUGCGUAGUUCACUCACCUCUGAAGUUGACACUCAUGGAAGCCACACAGAUUUGGUUACUGGCAGAGCUCCCGAAGGACUUGUGAAGGCCGUGGUUUCUCAUAAUCCAUACAAAAAAUUACAAAUUUUUUUGAAGAAAACUGUACGUGCGUCGAGAUCUGUAUGCAGGAGGACCCCCACAAUAACAGAAGAAAAUUUGAAUGAUCCCUCUGAUAUUUCAGUUCAAGUUCCGUCCCAAAACACAAAGGUAUGUCCAUUGGUUCAAAUGAGUCUAGAAUGGUUGCCUUGUUUGGAAAAGACAGGGUUGAACUUUGAGGACCAAUCCGGAGCAGUGAGUUUGUACCCGGAUCUUAAAAAGUUAAAUAUAAAUAUAUGCGAAAGAUUGGAAAACGUGUCCAUCAUACCUUGUACCAACGGACAUUUGAUGAACCUUGAGGAAAUGUCCGUGAGGCAAUGCAUUACGAUGAGAGAGAUAAUUGGGGCAGGACCGGCAGGUAAACACAAAAUGGCCAAUGGCAUUGUGUUCCAUAAGUUGUGUUCUCUUCAACUAAGUGACUUGCCAAGUUUGACCAGUUUUUGGGGGGAGGCCAGUGGGGAAGCCAACAGCCACAAGGUAUAUUUAUAUUUAAUUGCCAAAUGAAAAAAAUUUAAGAUUCAUAACAUGCAUCUGUUUUUUUUUUCGCGCGAGAGUGAGAGUAUAGAUCUAUUAUUGCUUUUAUAUCAAACUGACCACUCGUUUCGUCAAAAUUUCUCACUUGACCCAUCCAUUUAAUUUCAAACUCAAGCCACUAUAAACCAAAUACUAUAUAUAUUAUUUUACCCACAUUAUUAUUCAUAUUUCUUCACUUAAUCAUUUAUCAAAAAUCAAAUGUUUGUUUUUUUUACCACAAAAUCACUUCGAGUACUUUCAUAAUUGUCUCUAGUAUAUAUCAAAAUAAUUUGGAAAUUUUUAAAACAACAUUACUAUGUAGUUUAAAAAAUAUAAAGUUAUAAAUAUAUAAUUAUAUGAUCACCUUAGCUAUGUUAUUUUAAAAAUUCCCAAAUUAUUUUGAUAAAUACUAGAGACAGUCAUGAAAAUACUCGAAGUUGUUUUGUAGUAAAAAAACAAACGAUUGAUUUUUGAUAAAUGAUUAAGUGAAGAAAUAUGAAUAAUGAUAUGGGUAAAAUGAUAUAUAUUUGGUUUAUAAUGACUUAAAUGAGUCCGAAAUUAAAUGUGGGUCAAAUGAGAAAUUUUGACGAAAUGAGUGGUCAGUUUGAUAUAAAACCCGAUCUAUUACUGUAUCAAUUUAACAUUUCUGAGGUAAAGACGUUAAAGUGAGGAAGGCGCAUUCACCGAGUCAGAUUGACAUAAUGUAUGGGAUUGUUUUUUGUAGGUUGAAUUCCCAAACUUGAAGAAGCUUCAACUCCGUUGUGGGGAAAAUACUAGCUUACUGGAAAUGAUAGAGUCAGGCAGAGAUGGUUCUACUUUUCAGCUGGAGAACUUAGCAAUAAGCUGUGGUAAGGAGAUACAAAUUCCUAACCGAUGGCUACUUCAAUUAGAUAAUCUGGAAAGCUUGUCACUGGAACGCUGUUGGUCAGAUGAGCUGAAAUCUCUACGUUUCCAGAGAUUGAAUAAACUCACACUUGGUCAACUUAGUUGCUCUAGUAUUUUCUCAUUCCCAGACUUUGAAAGACUUCA
RNAcentral lists this long non-coding RNA (39945 nucleotides) under Daucus carota (carrot). RNAcentral's name for it is "long non-coding RNA (DCAR_LNC001666)". The record is from RNAcentral. Lineage: Eukaryota; Viridiplantae; Streptophyta; Magnoliopsida; Apiales; Apiaceae.